CCUACGGGAGGCAGCAGUGAGGAAUAUUGGUCAAUGGGCGGGAGCCUGAACCAGCCAAGCCGCGUGAGGGAAUAAUGUACAGCGUAUCGUAAACCUCUUUUGUCAGGGAACAAAAGCGGGGACUAGUCCCCGGAUGAGGGUACCUGAGGAAAAAGCAUCGGCUAACUCCGUGCCAGCAGCCGCGGUAAUACGGAGGAUGCGAGCGUUAUCCGGAUUUAUUGGGUUUAAAGGGGGCGCAGGGGGCCUUUUAAGUCAGCGUUAAAAGCCCGGGGCUCAACCCCGCCGAGCCGUUGAGACUGGGGGGCUGGAGUGGGAGAGAGGUACGCGGAAUGCGCGGUGUAGCGGUGAAAUGCUUAGAUAUCGCGCAGAACCCCGAUUGCGAAGGCAGCGUACCGGCUCCACACUGACGCUGAGGCACGAAAGCGUGGGUAUCGAACAGGAUUAGAUACCCUUGUAGUC
This 459-nucleotide ribosomal RNA is filed under the name uncultured bacterium. RNAcentral's name for it is "partial 16S ribosomal RNA". It matches the Rfam family "Bacterial small subunit ribosomal RNA", at positions 338 to 795 of the family's 1533-position model. The record is from RNAcentral.